GACGAACGCUGGCGGCGUGCUUAACACAUGCAAGUCGAACGGGAUCUGAUGAUGCUUUUGUGUUGUUGGUGAGAGUGGCGAACGGGUGAGUAACACGUGAGUAACCUGCCCUGGACUUUGGGAUAGCAUUCGGAAACAGGUGGUAAUACUGGAUAUUCUGCUUGGGUCGCAUGAUUCUUGUGGGAAAGGUUUUUCUGGUUUGGGAUGGGCUCGCGGCCUAUCAGUUUGUUGGUGGGGUGAUGGCCUACCAAGGCUUUGACGGGUAGCCGGCCUGAGAGGGUGGGCGGUCACACUGGGACUGAGAUACGGCCCAGACUCCUGCGGGAGGCAGCAGUGGGGGAUAUUGCACAAUGGACGGAAGUCUGAUGCAGCGACGCCGCGUGGGGGAUGACGGCCUUCGGGUUGUAAACCUCUUUCGCUUAUGGAAAAGGCACUGCUGUGGGUGGUGUUGAUGGUAGUGGGUGAAGAAGUACCGGCUAACUACGUGCCAGCAGCCGCGGUAAUACGUAGGGUACUAGCGUUGUCCGGAAUUAUUGGGCGUAAAGGGCUUGUAGGUGGUUGGUUGCGUCUGUCGUGAAAACCUGUGGCUUAACCAUGGGCUUGCGG
This 606-nucleotide ribosomal RNA is filed under the name uncultured bacterium. Its description in RNAcentral is "bacterial SSU rRNA". It matches the Rfam family "Bacterial small subunit ribosomal RNA", at positions 28 to 626 of the family's 1533-position model. The record is from RNAcentral.